Molecule: RNA transcript, 2441 nt
Organism: Larimichthys crocea (large yellow croaker)
Lineage: Eukaryota; Metazoa; Chordata; Actinopteri; Sciaenidae
Exons: 9
Source: RefSeq, a predicted model, not a curated record
UUCCGGUAUGGAUUGGAUAUAUGGCGGCGCUCUUGUCGGCCACCUUGCCUGCAGAUCGGUACUCUUGAACUCCAUGAGCGAUGCACCCUUCUGUAAUUCAAGAAGGUGACAGGCUGAAGCACACGACCGUGUCACCGUCUGUGUUUGGCUGUCCUGUCUGCCCCAAAUUCACAACCAGAAGUGAGAGUGUCAUUCAGAGGCACCUGCUGAAUCAUGCGGCGAAUGCAGUGCAUUUCAAGGAAAAAAUAAUCUGCAGAUGCAAUCUGCCCUGCAGAGACGGAGGCCAUUUCCACUGUCCAUUCUGUGAUACAACAAUAAUCCGGAAAGACACCAUUAUGCCCCAUCUUAUGCAAUGUAAAAACAAAUGUGAUAUGGCCCAGCUCACCUCGGCUACACCUCCUCCACCGCCCUCACCAGAGACCCACCCAACCGUUUUGUCAUCAUUAAGUUUUGAACAUUCAUACACUCUCCCACCAUCUGUGUCGGCCGUCAAAAAGGACCAUUCCUACCCACAACCAGCAUCCCAGUCACCCCCACCUCCAACCGCAGAGGAUCCCAUCGCUCCAACAGAAGUGGUAAAUGGGGAUGUGCCACGAACACAUUCGAUGUGCCCGCACUGCUCAGUGGUUUUGUACAAGAGGAAUUUGUUUUUACACAUCAAAAGAAAACAUGGCCAAGUAAAAGAUAUAACAGCCCAAUCACACCUACAAAGUACAUCCAUUGACAAAAGUAACGGUCUCUUUGCCGUCUGGAAAACAUCCAGAGGAUUCAGUAUUCCAGUUCAUGUGCAGCGCAAGACAUGGGGACAGCAUCAGGUAACCAGAUGUGAGAUGGAGGAUUGCCGGCAAAACCACCUGCUGGCACAGCGAAGUGGCCUUUCUCACAGCUUGUGCCAUCACAUCAGAUCAUUAGAUUACUGUAACACCACUGCCAGUGAGGAACAACUGGACCACCAAGUCCUCCAGGAAAUGGUGGAAAACCGUGUUUUUGCUGACUCUAAAAUAGCAGUGUGCAAAGCGAGGCAACAAGAAGCAGAAGAAGCACAUGUCCCCUUGUCGGUCCUCGUUGACUUUACUGGUUUGAAUAAUCAUAUCUGCCUUUCCAUCCACGAACCGAAAUUACACCAUUACAGCACUUUAGGGAGAGUGUUUGUAACCCACAACAUCAAGAAAAACACCUGGCAUUGUCCCUGUGCCAAGGCACUUGCAUCUUGUCCACAUAAAUAUAUUGCCAAGUGGCACCUUUACCAGACACAUAAACACAUUUUCAAGACUGUGCCAUCAACCAUUACAUCAGCAACGGCAGUUCACUCUUCCAGUCACCCCACUGCAGAGAUGGAGAGAAGUGUGAGGUAUGUCUAUAAGAACAAAAAAAUACCAACCCAUCUCCCUGAAGAAGCAACAGCCCGAAGAGCCCCAACAGAUUUUCCUCAGCAGUUGUUUCCAACUGAAACAACUUGCAAGCUCUGUGAAGACAAUCCAGAACUGGAGGAGGCCGUUUUAAUCACUAACAAAGCCACAGUUGUUGGCAUGGAGGGGUUACAAAACAUCUCAACUUACAAUAGAAGAUGCACCAAAUGUCACAUGGUGUACAGAUAUCAGGAGUGGACAGAUGGACUCCAUAACUUCAACAACCACGUCAUCAUUACCCUGCAGUUAUGUCUGUACUUGAGGUACAAUCUCCAGAAUCAUGUGUCUGUGUCUCAAGUUGUCAGCUGUCUUGAGACCUUGCUGAAGGUUAAAUUUCCAGAAAGUGACGUCAUCUUUCAGGGAUACUGCCAGUUUGAGGCUCUGUGUGACACACAGUACAAAUACUCUUGUGUCAGUCGUGGCUUCUACCCACCUGUGAUGGUUAUGGACCUCCACAGAAAAGGAGUAUUCAGUUUUGAGGCUAGUGGGCUUGAACAACCUAGAGAGGAGUUUAAUGGUGAACACGACAUAGCUGCAUUCUGGGAUUCUGUUCAUCUUCACAUGAUCAGCCGAGGAUUUUUUGAGUCACCUGCACAGAACCCAUUUGUAGUGAAACCAAAGUAUGACAACUGGGCACCAUGGAUUGGAGGGGAGACCUGUGAAGGCAACACAGUCCUCAAUACAGAGUUUGAGAAGGUGCCAUUGCAGGGGUCCUCAGGUGACCCUCAGCUAGGCGAUCUGAUGGAGGAACGCUAAGUAGAUGAGCUGCUAAAGCAAAAGCAAUUUACCGUGUCGUGUACACGGACACGUUUUCAGUAAACCUGGCUACCCACCGGACGAUUUUGGGACUGCCGUCUGACAUCGAUGCAUCGGCCUGAUACAAUUCACCCAAGAUUGUUGAUGGGAAGGGACAUCCUCUGCCAGAGGACACAAUCUGUGGUGCGAGGAGAUGCUGGGGCUUUAGGGCUGGGAACAUGGUGCGGCACAGGGGAGAGCAGGCAUGAAUUGAUGGACUGGGUCGCAGCAGCGGUG